This 378-nucleotide unclassified non-coding RNA is filed under the name plant metagenome. Its description in RNAcentral is "partial contains 5.8S ribosomal RNA, internal transcribed spacer 2, and large subunit ribosomal RNA". The stretch from base 1 to 105 matches the Rfam family "5.8S ribosomal RNA", at positions 50 to 154 of the family's 154-position model. The record is from RNAcentral.
GAAAUGCGAUAAGUAAUGUGAAUUGCAGAAUUCAGUGAAUCAUCGAAUCUUUGAACGCACCUUGCGCUCCUUGGUAUUCCUUGGAGCAUGCCUGUUUGAGUAUCAUGAAAUCUUCAAAGUAAAUCUUUUGUUAACUCAAUUGGUUUCUACUUUGGUAUUGGAGGUCUUUGCAGCUUCACACCUGCUCCUCUUUGUUCAUUAGCUGGAUCUCAGUGUUAUGCUUGGUUCCACUCGGCGUGAUAAGUUAUCUAUCGCUGAGGACACUGUAAAAGGUGGCCAAGGUAAAUGCAGAUGAACCGCUUCUAAUAGUCCAUUGACUUGGACAAUACUUUUAUGAUCUGAUCUCAAAUGAGGUAGGACUACCCGCUGAACUGAAGC